GUCUACGGUCAUGCCACCCUGAACAAGCCCAAUCCUGUCUGAUCUCUGAAGCUAAGCAGGGUUGGGCCUGUUUAGUACUUGGAUGAGAGACCACCUAGGAAGACCAGGUGCUGUAGGAG
This 119-nucleotide ribosomal RNA is filed under the name Pteropus alecto (black flying fox). Lineage: Eukaryota; Metazoa; Chordata; Mammalia; Chiroptera; Pteropodidae. The record is from RNAcentral.